This 604-nucleotide ribosomal RNA is filed under the name uncultured archaeon. RNAcentral describes it as "bacterial SSU rRNA". It matches the Rfam family "Archaeal small subunit ribosomal RNA", at positions 316 to 921 of the family's 1478-position model. The record is from RNAcentral.
CCAGGCCCUACGGGGCGCAGCAGUCGCGAAAACUUCACACUGGGGGCAACCCCGAUGAGGGAAUUCCUAGUGCUAGGACAUUUGUUCUAGCUUUUCUCAAGCGUAGAUAACUUGAGGAAUAAGGGCUGGGUAAGACGGGUGCCAGCCGCCGCGGUAAUACCUGCAGCCCAAGUGGUGGUCGAUUUUAUUGAAUCUAAAACGUUCGUAGCCGGUCUGGUAAAUCCUUGGGUAAAUCGGGGAGCUCAACUUUCCGAAUUCCGAGGAGACUGCCAGACUUGGGACCGGGAGAGGCUAGAGGUACUUCUGGGGUAGGGGUAAAAUCCUGUAAUCCUAGAAGGACCACCGGUGGCGAAGGCGUCUAGCUAGAACGGAUCCGACGGUGAGGGACGAAGCCCUGGGUCGCAAACGGGAUUAGAUACCCCGGUAGUCCAGGGUGUAAACGCUGCAGACUUGGUGUUGGAGGCCCUUCGGGGGCAUUCAGUGCCGGAGAGAAGUUGUUAAGUCUGCUACUUGGGGAGUACGUCCGCAAGGAUGAAACUUAAAGGAAUUGGCGGGGGAGCACCGCAACGGGAGGAGCGUGCGGUUUAAUUGGAGUCAACGCCGG